Long non-coding RNA from Chinchilla lanigera (long-tailed chinchilla), 2829 nucleotides. RefSeq lists it as uncharacterized. Lineage: Eukaryota; Metazoa; Chordata; Mammalia; Rodentia; Chinchillidae. The record is from RefSeq and is a predicted model, not a curated record. The transcript has 3 exons.
GCAUGAGGUCUAUUUGUCAUAUGUAAUGUGAUACUGUGGUGCUUUGCAACUUUCAAAGAACUUUGACACAAAAAUGAUCUCAUUGGAUCCUCAGAUGACCCUGCGAUGUGGGUAGGGUUGGUGGAUACUUAUCACCACUUCCCAUAUGAAGAAAGAAGGGUAAAUAGGUUAUAUAAUAUCACCAAGGUCACUUUGCACUUCGGUGGUGGAAAAAGAUUCCAAAAGAAGCAUUUAACUUCUAAAACAGCUGCAAACUAGACCAUGAUUUUCUAUCUACAACCCACUCCAUCUUCACGUGUGAACCUUGAGAGACAGGAAAAAGCCAACAGAUCCUUGCACCUGUUCCAACAACACUUCUAGGACCAAAGGAAUGAACCAUGUUUCGAUUGAGGGAAGCAGCCUUCACUCUGUCCUCUGAGGAACUGUCUCUGUGUGUUUAAGAAGCAGCAGAAACUCGAUGGCAUAAGAGUGGACCUCAUUUCCGGCUGUGCUGGGGCAUUAUGCUUAGUAGCUUCCACCUUCCUGGUACUUCUCUCCUGGGCUGGGACCCCGAGUGCCCCACACCUGUGCCUGAUGCCUCUGGGAAGCCUAGAUGUGGAUGGGAGGUGGGGUGAGUGGGAGUCCGGCUUUCCUCCUCCCUUCCGCACAUGAAUGGACACACACCUGUUUUGUUUAGAGCUGUCUUGAUUGACCUGAAGGGAAGGAGUAGAACUGACUUUGUGUUUAAUCUUCUAUCUUUCUUCCAACACAAUUAUUUGAAAUAUAACUUUAAAAAGUGCAACUCUCCUAUAAGUUUCUUGAAAUGUUUUUUACAGAAAGAUUUGUUUCUUUAACUAAUUUUUAAGCAUUUAUUGAUCGAUCCACCCCCAAAAAAUCGAUGAACAGGUCAGAAGUUUUAAAUUUUAAAUAUCUUGAAAAGCUGCAGCCCUUGUUAAAUUUUUUCAUAAGACAAUUCAUAGAACGUUACUGAGAAGCAAACAUAUUCUUAGAAAGCUUCUCAUUCCAGACUCAACUGGGUCAGCCCUGAGGUUAUUCUGGGAGCUGACUACUUUAUUCACUCUCUGAAUCAGAUUCUGACACAUAUUUUUUAUAAGUUCUUGGUCUUUUUUUUGAAAACUGACAGGCCUAUGGAAAAGUUAAUAGCUUGGUGAAUAUAAUGUGCUUAUGUCUGCAAACAAUAGAGAUAUUAAAAAGGUGCCCUAUUUUUUACUAUGAAUCUUCCGAGGAGCAUUUAAAAUGUGAACCCAAAUCUGACAUAAAAAAGCGCAAGAGAUUGUGGCACUUUGAUCUUCAUUUUCACUUUGUCAUGCAAUGUUUUAAUUUUCUUUGAGACAAAACUGCUUAGAUCUCAGGCUCAGAUUAUAUAUUAUACAAAGGGAUCUAUAGAAUUAAAGAGAUGGAACAAGGUUCUUGGGAAAAUGUAGCUUCUGUGAAAUAUAGGCAUAUUUGAUCAAAAUGACUAUUUCUACAUUAUUUCUGGACUAAUUUAAAGGUAAAGCUGAGGAUGGUUGGUGUGUGAACGACCCUAAUGCCUUCUAUGAAUGCUUUAUAGAUGCAAAUCAGAUGAUAUCAUUUAAGGAGAUAUGAACAGGACUCAAUAAUUAUCCUAAAUAAUAGGAUUAUUUUGUCACUAAUAAUUUCUUUAUAUUCUACAGUUCUUUCAGGGAUGUUUCAAUUUAUGUUGAGAAAAUAGCUGUCAAACUACAACAAUUUCCUCAUAGUUCAUAAAACAAUAUGUCAUCUUCAAAUUAAAAAUGCAUACUUCAUUUUGCAGCACGAAAAGUCCCAUUCCUUGGACUGUUACCCCAUCUGUCCACCACUUCUCUGAAAAUUUUCCACAGGAAGCCCCAAUUCACACCAAUAAUUUAUGAAGGAGUGCACAGAUUCAUGGAAAGAACAGAAACUCUUCAUGUUAACAGAUUUUGACGUAAUCAGUGGGGGUGGGGGCAGACUCUCUCCCUCCCAGAAGGCUAUGCUUGGAAUCCUCUUCUCCAUUUGUGCAUGGCUGCUACCGUCUUGUCCCGUUUAAAGGUCACCCUGGAAUGAUCUUUCUGACCACCUAAUCUAAUUGCAUGUUUGAUUAUAUAAUCGUCCAUGCAGCACUUAUCAUUGCUUGAUACUUCGGGGUUCGGUUUGUUCCUUGGCAAUCUCCUUGCACUUGCAAAGCGUGAACUUUGCUCCAUUCAUGCUAUAAUCCUGCACCCAGAAUGGUGUGUGACAAGUGUUAUGAUUUGAGCCAUUUCCCAAAAAGCUUUGUUGCUGACCUAACCCCCACUAUCUCAGAAUAGCCUUGUUUAGAAUAGCCUUUGCAGAUAUAAUUAGUUAAAAUAUGGUUAUAAGAAAAAGAUGUGCCCAUAAUCCCCGAAGAUAACUACUUUUAUAAGAAAUGGAGAGAGAAACACACAAAAGAGCACUAUAUGAAUCACAGACAUCUGGAGAGGCUGGUCAUGUAGAAAGCAGCCAGAGAGUGGAGUCUUACUGCCACUACCGAGGCAUGCCCGUGGCUAUAGGAAGUUUGAAGAGACAAAAAAGGCUCCUUUCCCCAAAGCUUCCACAGAGCAAGGUCCUGUCAACACCUCAAUUCUCUCUUCACAUUCUGAGCACAGAUAUUCUCCCCUUGAACCAGCAAUCAAAUAUCUGCCUUAAAAAUGAAGCCAAAGAAAAAAUAAUGUGUUAGUAAGAAAAACACACUGUAAACAGACCACCAUUCUGUUGUAGUUUGUUACUUUGGCUUAAGAUAAUAUGGCUAGUGUUUUAUCAGGAAGAUGUGUAGGACAAAGAUUUUUGCCAUAAUUUUGUGCUCAUUAUUUCAGUAAAUUUGCAAGUCUC